AUUGAACGCUGGCGGCAUGCUUUACACAUGCAAGUCGAACGGCAGCGCGGGCUUCGGCCUGGCGGCGAGUGGCGAACGGGUGAGUAAUGCAUCGGAACGUGCCCAGUAGUGGGGGAUAGCCCGGCGAAAGCCGGAUUAAUACCGCAUACGACCUGAGGGUGAAAGCGGGGGACCGAAAGGCCUCGCGCUAUUUGAGCGGCCGAUGUCGGAUUAGCUAGUUGGUGGGGUAAAGGCUUACCAAGGCGACGAUCCGUAGCUGGUCUGAGAGGACGACCAGCCACACUGGGACUGAGACACGGCCCAGACUCCUACGGGAGGCAGCAGUGGGGAAUUUUGGACAAUGGGGGCAACCCUGAUCCAGCCAUGCCGCGUGCGGGAAGAAGGCCUUCGGGUUGUAAACCGCUUUUGUUAGGGAAGAAAACCUCUGGGCUAAUACCCCGGGGGGAUGACGGUACCGGAAGAAUAAGCACCGGCUAACUACGUG
Molecule: ribosomal RNA, 484 nt
Filed under: uncultured bacterium
Lineage: Bacteria
Description: partial 16S ribosomal RNA
Rfam family: Bacterial small subunit ribosomal RNA
Source: RNAcentral